Long non-coding RNA from Uranotaenia lowii, 810 nucleotides. RefSeq lists it as uncharacterized. The record is from RefSeq and is a predicted model, not a curated record. The transcript is spliced from 2 exons. Lineage: Eukaryota; Metazoa; Arthropoda; Insecta; Diptera; Culicidae.
CCAAAUUAUUGUAAAAGCUAUCCAUAAAUCUGCUUUUAAAAUACAAAAUAAAAUAACAAAACGUUUUGUUGAAACCACUCCCCAUUCCUUUUCUGCGUGAUAAAGCGUUAAUAGCUCUGAAGCGUAUUUUUAGAAGAUCCUAAUAUAAUUUAUCUUCAGGAUAGCUACAGAACCAUAACACAACCAUCCCAUAAAACUCAAAUGAAAUUCAACCAUUUAUUUAUAUUCCAGUUUAGAAGACCGCUACACAGCAUUUACAAAACCUUUUUAUACAACCAUAAUUUGUUCGUUCGGAAACGUCAAAGCAAUUUAGUCGUAUAAAAAGCCUAUGCCGGAAUAACAUGACAGAGCGCAUCGAAGUGUCAAAAAUAAUACCAAUUUGAGAUGGCAGAAAACAAAUUUGUUUUUUUUAUUCCCUGCAAUAUUAAAUGAGGUAUGAGGGCCGUCGAAAUCACGACGAGAAAAAGUAACCUGUGUAACCUGAGCUGCACAAUUCGGCGAUUAUUUUCCAGUCAAAUCAUACCCCCAGCCAAUUUCCGGAUGUUCACUGUAUGCCACCAUCGGAGAAAACAUUUUUCGAGCAACACAGCCACAAGAACCGCCUGUACUUUACCGUAUCGGCUGUCGGAAUAAUGGAAUUGUCAUUACCGGAACACUGCCGUAACGGUGGCGAACAAUUCCGGGAUGAUAGACCCACAAAAAGCAACAACUAAACUCUGCCAUGUUGACCAUCAAUUCAUAAAAAGUGAUAAAUAUUGUGUUAGUGACCCAGAUAGUUGAGAUAAAUAAAGGAAUGAAGUUCUUUUUUUU